AAUGGCAUAUGAUGGACAUUCUUAUCCUACACACUGAAUGCAAUGUGUGGACCAAUACUCCGCUUAUUAUCUGAUGCCACU
Oryza brachyantha (malo sina) is the source of this 81-nucleotide small nucleolar RNA. RefSeq annotates it as small nucleolar RNA R16. Lineage: Eukaryota; Viridiplantae; Streptophyta; Magnoliopsida; Poales; Poaceae. The transcript has a single exon. The record is from RefSeq and is a predicted model, not a curated record.